Molecule: transfer RNA, 77 nt
Filed under: Alphaproteobacteria bacterium
Lineage: Bacteria; Pseudomonadati; Pseudomonadota; Alphaproteobacteria
Description: tRNA-Pro
Rfam family: tRNA
About the family: Transfer RNA (tRNA) molecules are approximately 80 nucleotides in length. Their secondary structure includes four short double-helical elements and three loops (D, anti-codon, and T loops). Further hydrogen bonds mediate the characteristic L-shaped molecular structure. tRNAs have two regions of fundamental functional importance: the anti-codon, which is responsible for specific mRNA codon recognition, and the 3' end, to which the tRNAs corresponding amino acid is attached (by aminoacyl-tRNA synthetases). tRNAs cope with the degeneracy of the genetic code in two manners: having more than one tRNA (with a specific anti-codon) for a particular amino acid; and 'wobble' base-pairing, i.e. permitting non-standard base-pairing at the 3rd anti-codon position.
Source: RNAcentral
CGGGGUGUAGCUCAGCCUGGUAGAGUGCUCGUUUCGGGUGCGAGAGGCCGGAGGUUCGAAUCCUCUCACCCCGACCA